UUGAAAUAACUCUUGCUCCACGUACUCUAUUCCGAAAUAUUCAAUUCCCCAACGUUUGUUAAAUGUGUACGUAUCGAGAAAAAAUUCAUAUCGAAGUGUCAAGUAGUCCGUUUGAUGCCGUUAAACUCGAAUGAGUAUUUUAAAUAACAAAUAAUCAAUGUAUCUCAGAUUUUUGAAGUAGCUGUUUGGGUAUAGUCGUGUAGAUAGGUCACAUCGUAUAGAUACUCUCAUAUUUUAAUUAGCUUUUCUGUAGGUGCCAGCAAUAU
Molecule: non-coding RNA, 266 nt
Organism: Cinara cedri
Lineage: Eukaryota; Metazoa; Arthropoda; Insecta; Hemiptera; Aphididae
Source: the annotation of a GenBank genome assembly